This 253-nucleotide ribosomal RNA is filed under the name uncultured bacterium. RNAcentral describes it as "partial 16S ribosomal RNA". It matches the Rfam family "Bacterial small subunit ribosomal RNA", at positions 524 to 776 of the family's 1533-position model. The record is from RNAcentral.
UACGGAGGAUCCAAGCGUUAUCCGGAUUUAUUGGGUUUAAAGGGUGCGUAGGCGGAUUGAUAAGUUAGAGGUGAAAUGUCCGAGCUUAACUCGGGAACUGCCUCUAAUACUGUUGAUCUAGAGAGUAGAUGCGGCAGGCGGAAUGUAUGGUGUAGCGGUGAAAUGCUUAGAGAUCAUACAGAACACCGAUUGCGAAGGCAGCUUACCAAUCUAUAUCUGACGUUGAGGCACGAAAGCGUGGGGAGCAAACAGG